RNAcentral lists this long non-coding RNA (204 nucleotides) under Elaeis guineensis (African oil palm). Its description in RNAcentral is "long non-coding RNA (EGUI_LNC001923)". Lineage: Eukaryota; Viridiplantae; Streptophyta; Magnoliopsida; Arecales; Arecaceae. The record is from RNAcentral.
GAGCUUAUACCUAGGACAACUUUCAUAAGCUUACAUAUGGAAUAGCCUCUAGGAGCUUGUGCUUGGUAUAGACUCUACGAGCUUAUAUAAAGGAAUUUGAUUAGUCAUGGACUGGAGCAUGAUCUUGGUUAGUCCAAAGUCGAAAAAAAGAUUAAGAAAUCUAAAAUUGUGAUAAGAGAAAUAGAUGAUAAGAUACAUGAAACU